RNAcentral lists this ribosomal RNA (96 nucleotides) under Photobacterium leiognathi subsp. mandapamensis. RNAcentral's name for it is "partial 16S ribosomal RNA". It matches the Rfam family "Bacterial small subunit ribosomal RNA", at positions 1 to 91 of the family's 1533-position model. The record is from RNAcentral. Lineage: Bacteria; Pseudomonadati; Pseudomonadota; Gammaproteobacteria; Vibrionales; Vibrionaceae.
ACUUUAAUUGAAGAGUUUGAUCAUGGCUCAGAUUGAACGCUGGCGGCAGGCCUAACACAUGCAAGUCGAGCGGCAGCGACAUGAUAGAAGCUUCGG